This 385-nucleotide RNase P RNA is filed under the name Brevirhabdus pacifica. RNAcentral describes it as "RNase P RNA component class A". It matches the Rfam family "Bacterial RNase P class A". Rfam says of the family: Ribonuclease P (RNase P) is a ubiquitous endoribonuclease, found in archaea, bacteria and eukarya as well as chloroplasts and mitochondria. Lineage: Bacteria; Pseudomonadati; Pseudomonadota; Alphaproteobacteria; Rhodobacterales; Paracoccaceae. RNAcentral also lists the same sequence under 1 other name. The record is from RNAcentral.
GCGGAUGGCCGGAUGGCCGCGUGCCGCCCUCGCGGGUGGUGCGAGGAAAGUCCGGACUCCAUGAGGCAACGGUGCCGGGUAACGCCCGGCCGGGGCAACCCGAGGGAAAGCGCCACAGAAAACAGACCGCCCCGGGCUUCGGCCGGGGGUAAGGGUGAAACGGUGGGGUAAGAGCCCACCGCGGCCCGGGCAACCGGACCGGCACGGCAAGCCCCACCGGGAGCAAUGCCAAAUAGGAACCUCGCGGGGCAUGUCCCCAGGGCCGUCUCAGCCCGGAGGUUCGGGUUGGCAGCUAGAGCGCCGGGGCAAUCCGGCGCCCAGAUGAAUGGUCAUCGAAGGGCCGCAAGGCCCGGAACAGAAUCCGGCUUACAGGCCGUCCGCGCGU